GUUAUAUGGUCAAGUGAAGAAGCGCAUACGGUGGAUGCCUUGGCAGUCAGAGGCGAUGAAAGACGUGGUAGCCUGCGAAAAGCUUCGGGGAGUCGGCAAACAGACUUUGAUCCGGAGAUGUCUGAAUGGGGGAACCCAGCCAUCACAAGAUGGUUAUCUUGUACUGAAUACAUAGGUGCAAGAGGCGAACCAGGGGAACUGAAACAUCUAAGUACCCUGAGGAAAAGAAAUCAACCGAGAUUCCCUUAGUAGUGGCGAGCGAACGGGGACUAGCCCUUAAGCUUCUUUGAUUUUAGCGGAACGCUCUGGAAAGUGCGGCCAUAGUGGGUGAUAGCCCUGUACGCGAAAGGAUCUUAGAAGUGAAAUCGAGUAGGACGGAGCACGAGAAACUUUGUCUGAAUAUGGGGGGACCAUCCUCCAAGGCUAAAUACUACUGACUGACCGAUAGUGAACUAGUACCGUGAGGGAAAGGCGAAAAGAACCCCGGAGAGGGGAGUGAAAUAGAUCCUGAAACCGUAUGCGUACAAGCAGUGGGAGCCCACUUUGUUGGGUGACUGCGUACCUUUUGUAUAAUGGGUCAGCGACUUAUUUUCAGUGGCGAGCUUAACCGAAUAGGGGAGGCGUAGCGAAAGCGAGUCUUAAUAGGGCGUCUAGUCGCUGGGAAUAGACCCGAAACCGGGCGAUCUAUCCAUGGGCAGGUUGAAGGUUAGGUAACACUGACUGGAGGACCGAACCGACUACCGUUGAAAAGUUAGCGGAUGACCUGUGGAUCGGAGUGAAAGGCUAAUCAAGCUCGGAGAUAGCUGGUUCUCCUCGAAAGCUAUUUAGGUAGCGCCUCAUGUAUCACUGUAGGGGGUAGAGCACUGUUUCGGCUAGGGGGUCAUCCCGACUUACCAAACCGAUGCAAACUCCGAAUACCUACAAGUGCCGAGCAUGGGAGACACACGGCGGGUGCUAACGUCCGUCGUGAAAAGGGAAACAACCCAGACCGUCAGCUAAGGUCCCAAAGUUAUGGUUAAGUGGGAAACGAUGUGGGAAGGCUUAGACAGCUAGGAGGUUGGCUUAGAAGCAGCCACCCUUUAAAGAAAGCGUAAUAGCUCACUAGUCGAGUCGGCCUGCGCGGAAGAUGUAACGGGGCUCAAACCAUACACCGAAGCUACGGGUAUCACGUAAGUGAUGCGGUAGAGGAGCGUUCUGUAAGCCUGUGAAGGUGAGUUGAGAAGCUUGCUGGAGGUAUCAGAAGUGCGAAUGCUGACAUGAGUAACGACAAUGGGUGUGAAAAACACCCACGCCGAAAGACCAAGGUUUCCUGCGCAACGUUAAUCGACGCAGGGUUAGUCGGUCCCUAAGGCGAGGCUGAAAAGCGUAGUCGAUGGAAAACAGGUUAAUAUUCCUGUACUUCUGGUUAUUGCGAUGGAGGGACGGAGAAGGCUAGGCCAGCUUGGCGUUGGUUGUCCAAGUUUAAGGUGGUAGGCUGAAAUCUUAGGUAAAUCCGGGGUUUCAAGGCCGAGAGCUGAUGACGAGUUACCCUUUGGGUGACGAAGUGGUUGAUGCCAUGCUUCCAAGAAAAGCUUCUAAGCUUCAGAUAACCAGGAACCGUACCCCAAACCGACACAGGUGGUUGGGUAGAGAAUACCAAGGCGCUUGAGAGAACUCGGGUGAAGGAACUAGGCAAAAUGGCACCGUAACUUCGGGAGAAGGUGCGCCGGUGAGGGUGAAGCACUUGCUGCGUAAGCCCACGCCGGUCGAAGAUACCAGGCCGCUGCGACUGUUUAUUAAAAACACAGCACUCUGCAAACACGAAAGUGGACGUAUAGGGUGUGACGCCUGCCCGGUGCCGGAAGGUUAAUUGAUGGGGUUAGCUAACGCGAAGCUCUUGAUCGAAGCCCCGGUAAACGGCGGCCGUAACUAUAACGGUCCUAAGGUAGCGAAAUUCCUUGUCGGGU
RNAcentral lists this ribosomal RNA (1946 nucleotides) under Mesorhizobium sp. RNAcentral describes it as "partial 23S ribosomal RNA". It matches the Rfam family "Bacterial large subunit ribosomal RNA", at positions 1 to 1977 of the family's 2925-position model. Lineage: Bacteria; Pseudomonadati; Pseudomonadota; Alphaproteobacteria; Hyphomicrobiales; Phyllobacteriaceae. The record is from RNAcentral.